Molecule: ribosomal RNA, 464 nt
Filed under: Vreelandella stevensii
Lineage: Bacteria; Pseudomonadati; Pseudomonadota; Gammaproteobacteria; Oceanospirillales; Halomonadaceae
Description: partial 16S ribosomal RNA
Rfam family: Bacterial small subunit ribosomal RNA
Source: RNAcentral
CCUACGGGGGGCAGCAGUGGGGAAUAUUGGACAAUGGGCGAAAGCCUGAUCCAGCCAUGCCGCGUGUGUGAAGAAGGCCUUCGGGUUGUAAAGCACUUUCAGUGGGGAAGAAAGCCUUGGGGCUAAUACCCUCGAGGAAGGACAUCACCCACAGAAGAAGCACCGGCUAACUCCGUGCCAGCAGCCGCGGUAAUACGGAGGGUGCGAGCGUUAAUCGGAAUUACUGGGCGUAAAGCGCGCGUAGGCGGUCUGAUAAGCCGGUUGUGAAAGCCCCGGGCUCAACCUGGGAACGGCAUCCGGAACUGUCAGGCUAGAGUGCAGGAGAGGAAGGUAGAAUUCCCGGUGUAGCGGUGAAAUGCGUAGAGAUCGGGAGGAAUACCAGUGGCGAAGGCGGCCUUCUGGACUGACACUGACGCUGAGGUGCGAAAGCGUGGGUAGCAAACAGGAUUAGUACCCCAGUAGUC